This 774-nucleotide ribosomal RNA is filed under the name uncultured Neocallimastigales. RNAcentral's name for it is "partial large subunit ribosomal RNA". It matches the Rfam family "Eukaryotic large subunit ribosomal RNA", at positions 24 to 644 of the family's 3401-position model. Lineage: Eukaryota; Fungi; Neocallimastigomycota; Neocallimastigomycetes; Neocallimastigales. The record is from RNAcentral.
UACGACUACAUAUCAGGCAUAUCAAUAAGCGGAGGAAAAGAAACUAACUAGGAUUCCCUUAGUAACGGCGAGUGAAGCGGGAAGAGCUCAAAUUUGAAAUCUUCAAGGUUUUACCUUGACGAAUUGUAGUUUAAAGAAGUGUUUUCUGUUGGUGUUUUGGUAAAAGUUCUUUGGAAUAGGACAUCAUAGAGGGUGAGAAUCCCGUAUUUGACCAUUACUUCCAGCGUUGUGAUACACUUUCAAAGAGUCGGAUUGUUUGGGAAUGCAGUCCAAAAUGGGUGGUAAAUUUCAUCUAAAGCUAAAUAUUGGCGAGAGACCGAUAGCGAACAAGUACCGUGAGGGAAAGAUGAAAAGAACUUUGAAAAGAGAGUUAAACAGUACGUGAAAUUGUCAAAAGGGAAGCGUUUGACACCAGUGUUGUUUCGUCGAAAAUCAAUUAAAAAGAGUUGGAUUUUGUAUUGUUAAGACCUUAUCAGCUUACUGUACUUUUUUCUUGCUCUUUUUAAUGCACUUUUCGUUUAACAAGUCAACAUCAAUUUCUUUUGUUGUAAAAGGGUCAUUGGAAGGUGGCUCUCACUUCGGUGAAAGUGUUUAUAGCCUUUGGCUUCUACAAUCGGAGAGAUUGAGGUCUGCAGCGUAGAUCCUUCGGGGUUAGAUACGUAGAUGCUAAGUUAUAGUUUUUUAUAGACAACUUGUUGACUAUGAUUAAUCAUGUAGCUUACUCGUUUACGCUAUUUUACCUACGCUUAGGAUGUUGAAUCUGUGCGAGACUAC